ACAUACGACCAUAGGGUGUGGAAAACAGGGCUUCCCGUCCGCUCAGCCGUACUUAAGCCACACGCCGGUGAGUUAGUAGUUGGGUGGGUGACCACCAGCGAAUCCUUACUGUUGUAUGUU
Molecule: ribosomal RNA, 120 nt
Organism: Penicillium freii
Lineage: Eukaryota; Fungi; Ascomycota; Eurotiomycetes; Eurotiales; Aspergillaceae
Source: Rfam